RNAcentral lists this ribosomal RNA (393 nucleotides) under uncultured bacterium. RNAcentral's name for it is "bacterial SSU rRNA". It matches the Rfam family "Bacterial small subunit ribosomal RNA", at positions 505 to 898 of the family's 1533-position model. The record is from RNAcentral.
GUGUCAGCAGCCGCGGUAAUACGUAGGUGGCAAGCGUUGUCCGGAUUUACUGGGCGUAAAGGAUGCGUAGGCGGAUAUUUAAGUGAGAUGUGAAAUUCCCGGGCUUAACUUGGGAGCUGCAUUUCAAACUGGAUAUCUAGAGUGUGGGAGAGGAGAAUGGAAUUCCUAGUGUAGCGGUGAAAUGCGUAGAGAUUAGGAAGAACACCAGUGGCGAAGGCGAUUCUCUGGACCAUAACUGACGCUGAGGCAUGAAAGCGUGGGUAGCAAACAGGAUUAGAUACCCUGGUAGUCCACGCCGUAAACGAUGAGUACUAGGUGUAGGAGGGUCCAACCUUCUGUGCCGCAGUUAACACAAUAAGUACUCCGCCUGGGAAGUACGAUCGCAAGAUUAAA